UUUUUUUUUUUUUUUUUUUUUUUUUGGUCUUUUUAGGGCUGCACCUGCAGCAUAUGAGUUCCCAGGCUAGGAUUGAACUGGAGCUACAGCUGGUGGUCUAUGCCACAACCACAGCAACGCAGGAUCCAAGCCACGUCUGCGACCUACACUGCAGCUCAUAGCAAAGCCAGAUGCUUAAGGCACUUAGCAAGGCCAGGGAUUGAACCCACAUCCUCAUGGAUACUAGUUGGGUUCAUUACCGCUGAGCCACUACGGGAACUCCUCAAGAGCUUUAUUUAACGUUUCCGUAGUGCAGGUCUGUUGGUGAUGAAUUACUUCAGCUUUUAAGUGCCUUGAAACAGUAUUUUACCUUUCUUUUAAAAAGAUAUUUUUCUGGUUUUAAAUUUUCAGUUGACAGUGUGGUUUUCUUUUGGUACCCUAAGUACGUUGUUCAACUGUCUUCCAGUAUUAUUUACAAUAAGACGUCUGCUGCCAUUCUCAUCUGGGUUUCUCUGCAUGUAACUUGUCUUUUUCUCCCCCUCUGACUGCAUUUAAGAUUGUUCUCUUUAUCGCUGAUUAUGAGAAAUUCCACUGAUGAACUUUUUCUCUUCGUGUUUUUUGUGCUUGGGAUUCACUGAUAUUCUUGGAUAUAUGAGUUUCGUCAAAUUUGGAAAAUUUUCAGCCAUUAUUUCCUUAAAUUUUUUUUCUGCUCUCUCUUCCUUUGAAGACUCCAAUGUCAUGCAUAUUCAGUGAACUUGAAAUGGUCCCACAGCUUACUGAUUUCUCUGUUUAUCUUUUUCACAAGCUCUUUACUCUCUGUAUUGCAUUUUAAUUAGUUUCUAUAACUAUGUCUUCAAAUUUGCUAAGCUUUUCCUUUUAGUUUCUGAUCUGCAAUUAAUCCUAUCUGGUGUACUUUUCAUCCAAAACUUUUUUUUUUUUCCGUCUCUAUAGAGUUCAAUUUGGAUCCUUCUUCUAUCUUUCAUGUCUCUCCUUAAUAUGCUUAAAAUUUUCUCUACCUCUUUGCAUAUGUGGGGUAUAUUUACAACAUUGGUUUAACAUUCUUAUUUACCAAUUAUAUCAUCUGUACCAUUUUGGGGUCUGUUUCUAUUCACUGAUUUUUCCUCUUAUCAUGGUUCAGAUUUUUCUUCUUUCACAUGCCUUUUAAUCUUUGUUUGGGGAGUUCCCAUCGUGGCUAGGAGUCGAAUCAGAGCUAGCUAAAGCUGCCAACCUACACCAAAGCCACAGCAAUGCAGAAUCUGAGCCCCAUCUGUGACCUACACUACAGCUCACAGCAACAC
RNAcentral lists this long non-coding RNA (1277 nucleotides) under Sus scrofa (pig). RNAcentral describes it as "lncRNA (ENSSSCG00055025206.1)". Lineage: Eukaryota; Metazoa; Chordata; Mammalia; Artiodactyla; Suidae. The record is from RNAcentral.